CGAUCCAGCAUCGAUUAUUUUUUCAUUCAAGCAUAGUUCGGAAGCAAGUAACAUUGCACUAGGUACAUCUCUAUGGCGCAUGCGCGCUGGACCGCAAGAGAGGCGCGCCGCUGCGCCGCCGGCGCGGCGCCAUGACCGCCAUAUUGAAUUUUCCGCCGAAAAGUUUGCCGCUAUUUUUUAAAAGUAUUUUUGUUAAGUCUUUACAAUACAAAACAAACAUCUAUUAUAAAUUAUUAUGUUUGUGUUUGCAAUAUGCAAUUGUAAAAUCGAUAAGGUGCUUGUGUUGACAACAAUAAAGAAAAUGAACAAUCAAGCACACCCAUAAACUAAACAUGAAACGCUGGAUACAAGAUGUUAAUUCCUCUCUGGGACAACAAUACUAAAACGACCAUCAGACCACAUAGUUAUACCUACAUACUAACUAGAAGGAUAAUCCAAAUAAGAUGCAGAAAUGAAAUCAAGCAAUUGUGUAUAUUGGUGUCAGAAAAAUUACUUAACCAGUGUGUGUUGUGUGUGUUAUUCACCGAAAUAAAGUUUUACGUGCAUAAAUUUAUUUCUUCUUUCAUAAAAAGUAAUAGUACAUAUAGUAGUAAGUAGGUAUAUAGUUUCUUAAAGUCAGGCAUAUUUUUCAGAUAAAAGGUAACCUAGGUAUUACUUGUUUUUUCCUGUAACAUAAUAGGUAGUUAAAUAUUUGAGCUAUGUAGAGACCACUUUAAGUAAAAUAUUCAUACAAGUUGAAAGGGGUAAGUAGAGAGUUAGAUAGGUACACAGGUAGGUGAGUUAAAGUUAAGGUGUUCCUCAUGUAUGUGGAGCUGGUCCGUUUGGAAGAGGAAAGCCGAGGUGUUAAGGCUAGAGUGUAAUUCCUGAAGUAGAUCGGUAGGUGUGUUGAUUAAUUAUUAGAUCUAGAACAAUAACUUAAGUUGUUUUUAAGCAACCCGGUUCAUGCCUACCUUGUCAGUAACACGUUUUUCAGUCAUUCAAUCCUAAAAUCAGAAAUAAUAAUAUGCCAAAACAGAGUCACUUUCACAUCGUAGUUUCACAAAAAAUAUUAAGUUAGCGUCGUUGCAAUUAGCUUUACAUGCUUAAACAACAAAUCAGCUCCAAGUUAAAUCCAUAUUUAUGCACCUACAACAACAAUUUCCCAUAUAUUUCACGGUUUUACUUUUAGAAAUUUUUGUAGAAUUUUAACAGGCACCUGUUUAGACCCCUUUUAAAUUUAGGAAGAAAGUUGCUAAUUUUAAGUUGACAGCGCUAAAAAUGGCACCUUCAGAAUACCAAUUCGACCAUCUAACCUAAGUUGAAUAGUUUUAACGCUGUCAGAUUCAAAAUUUAAAGUGACGUCUCUAAU
This is a non-coding RNA of Plutella xylostella (diamondback moth), 1348 nucleotides long. NCBI's taxonomy places the organism in Eukaryota, Metazoa, Arthropoda, Insecta, Lepidoptera, Plutellidae. The record is from RefSeq and is a predicted model, not a curated record.